Molecule: long non-coding RNA, 434 nt
Filed under: Mus pahari (shrew mouse)
Lineage: Eukaryota; Metazoa; Chordata; Mammalia; Rodentia; Muridae
Description: lncRNA (MGP_PahariEiJ_G0011991.1)
Source: RNAcentral
GGGCCUGAUUGCACCUCUGCUUCUCUGCUAUCUCUGGUGCUCAAAGAGACAAGGAUCCUAACCCGGCAUGGGGCUAAAAAGAGGAUGUUGUCUGUAUGCAAACCCCUGGGAAAUAGUCGUAAUUGUCUUCGUUUAUCCACUGACCACUGUCUCACAAUAUUGUAGUUUCUCCAUUUGACCAGGUUCCUGAGGCUUGGAGAAGAGAUUAUCCAGAGAUUAUCCAGAUGGGUCUCAUGUAACCAACUUGGCCUCAGACUCUUGGACCUUGGACUUCUGUCCUGUUUCCAUCUCUGGUGCUCAGGUUUAGGAACUCAGCAUCUUCCUACCUCUGUUUCCCGAGUGUCUUGUGCAGGCUGCUGCACCUGGCUGACAUGGUAUCUCAGUUUGGCGUUCUAUUGCUGUGAAGAGACACCAUGGCCAAGACAACUCUUAUA